GAUGAAGAACGUAGCGAAAUGCGAUAAGUAAUGUGAAUUGCAGAAUUCAGUGAAUCAUCGAAUCUUUGAACGCACAUUGCGCCCGCUAGUAUUCUGGCGGGCAUGCCUGUCCGAGCGUCAUUUCAACCCUCAAGCCCCCGGGCUUGGUGUUGGGGAUCGGCGAGCCUCCGCGCCCGCCGUCCCCUAAAUCUAGUGGCGGUCUCGCUGUAGCUUCCUCUGCGUAGUAGCACACCUCGCACUGGGAAACAGCGCGGCCACGCCGUUAAACCCCCAACUUCUGAACGUUUGACCUCGGAUCAGGUAGGAAUACCCGCUGAACUUAAGCAUAUCAGUAAGCGGAGGA
Molecule: unclassified non-coding RNA, 343 nt
Filed under: soil metagenome
Description: partial contains 5.8S ribosomal RNA, internal transcribed spacer 2, and large subunit ribosomal RNA
Rfam family: 5.8S ribosomal RNA (bases 1-120)
Source: RNAcentral